Non-coding RNA from Paramuricea clavata, 357 nucleotides. Lineage: Eukaryota; Metazoa; Cnidaria; Anthozoa; Malacalcyonacea; Plexauridae. The record is from the annotation of a GenBank genome assembly.
CACAUACGUAAACAGAUCUGGAAACAAGUCGUAACAAGGUUGUUGUGAAGCCGAUAUCAGGAUGUGUUCGCACUGCUUGUUCCCAGUUGUUGUGACAAGUCUGAAACAAGUUGUUAUCACCUUGUUACAAGGUUGAUGACGGUAACAGACUUGCUACAAGUUGUUCCAACAAGACUAAUACAGGCUGUUCGUAACAAGUUGCUACAAGCUUGUUGUCAUCAACUUGUUACGUGCAGACGAUAUCAGACUUGUUGGAACAACUUGUUGCGAGUCUGUUGGUCUCAUCAACCUUGUUACAAGAUGAUAACAACUUGUUCCAGACUUGUCAACAACUGGGAACAAGCAGUGCGAACAAAU